Molecule: long non-coding RNA, 592 nt
Filed under: Homo sapiens (human)
Lineage: Eukaryota; Metazoa; Chordata; Mammalia; Primates; Hominidae
Description: non-protein coding lnc-PIGBOS1-6:1
Source: RNAcentral
GGAAAAUACCCGCCAACGACCCAAAAAAGGCCGGCGGCGGGUGGACGCGGCGCGCGAGGACCCGAGCCAGGCGGGGACAGGACGGCGGGGCGAGCCAGACAAAAAGUAACCUUCCUGAAGAGGACAUGUGAUUGGAAGUUGUCAAUUGUUGAAGCAUUGGUAACUCCAGUCUCUAACGUUUUAGAAAAUCAUAACAAGCGGUUCUCUACCCUGUAAAGAACAGAAACCUGGAAAUCUAAGGCUCAAAGACAUCCAAGUAAUUGGUAUCUGGGAGAUUUGGGAUUCAAACCCAGCUCUGCUUGACUUGGUGAGUUUCCUAUUAGGUUACCUUGUAAGAUACCAUACUACUGGUCACUUUAAAGCCCAAUGUGCAUUUAUAACAAAAAUGAAUAAUGGAUAUGAAGCUUGGGGUAGAAUAGGCAUUGGACUUGGAGCUAGGAGAUCUAGAUUCUAGAUCGUGCAAAUCAGUCUACCUCUCUGGGUUCUGUUUUACCCUUUAGAAAACUGAACCCAGAGAGUGGAAGGUCUGAACAUUUAUUUUCAGAUCAAGAAAGCAGAUAAUUGUCUUAAAGAUACAAUCUGAAAAGUGCAA